GGCUCUGUGGCGCAAUGGAUAGCGCAUUGGACUUCUAGUUGCCAAGGUGGAGGUAUUCAAAGGUUGUGGGUUCGAGUCCCACCAGAGUCG
Molecule: transfer RNA, 90 nt
Filed under: Monodelphis domestica (gray short-tailed opossum)
Lineage: Eukaryota; Metazoa; Chordata; Mammalia; Didelphimorphia; Didelphidae
Rfam family: tRNA
About the family: Transfer RNA (tRNA) molecules are approximately 80 nucleotides in length.
Source: Rfam by way of RNAcentral